GGGGCUGUAGCUCAGUGGUAGAGUGCUCACCCAGCAAGUGUGAGGUACCAGGUUCUAUCCUCAGCACCA
This 69-nucleotide transfer RNA is filed under the name Ictidomys tridecemlineatus (thirteen-lined ground squirrel). RNAcentral describes it as "Spermophilus tridecemlineatus (thirteen-lined ground squirrel) tRNA". It matches the Rfam family "tRNA". Rfam says of the family: Transfer RNA (tRNA) molecules are approximately 80 nucleotides in length. Their secondary structure includes four short double-helical elements and three loops (D, anti-codon, and T loops). Lineage: Eukaryota; Metazoa; Chordata; Mammalia; Rodentia; Sciuridae. The record is from Rfam by way of RNAcentral.